Molecule: ribosomal RNA, 373 nt
Filed under: uncultured bacterium
Lineage: Bacteria
Description: bacterial SSU rRNA
Rfam family: Bacterial small subunit ribosomal RNA
Source: RNAcentral
UAAUACGGAGGAUGCGAGCGUUAUCCGGGUUUAUUGGGUUUAAAGGGUGCGUAGGCGGACUAUUAAGUCAGUGGUGAAAUCUUGCAGCUCAACUGUAAAACUGCCACUGAUACUGAUAGUCUUGAAUUUAGUUGAGGUAGGCGGAAUGUGUUGUGUAGCGGUGAAAUGCAUAGAUAUAACACAGAACACCGAUUGCGAAGGCAGCUUACUAAGCUAUAAUUGACGCUGAUGCACGAAAGCGUGGGGAGCGAACAGGAUUAGAUACCCUGGUAGUCCACGCCGUAAACGAUGAUUACUCGUUGUUGGCAAUACAUCGUCAGCGACUGAGCGAAAGCAUUGAGUAAUCCACCUGGGGAGUACGUUGGCAACAAUG